RNA transcript from Tribolium castaneum (red flour beetle), 581 nucleotides. RefSeq lists it as hypothetical. The transcript has 3 exons. The record is from RefSeq and is a predicted model, not a curated record. NCBI's taxonomy places the organism in Eukaryota, Metazoa, Arthropoda, Insecta, Coleoptera, Tenebrionidae.
GAUUAAGUUGGUAGCACUGAACGCAAUUUAAAAUUGGCCGCUAAACGUCAAAAUGGGUAAAUCCUUGUGACACAAAAAAUGAAAAAUGCCCCUCAUAAACAUCCAAAAACUGUUCCUAUAAGACGGAGGCAUGGGGAAGGUUCAAGUUCGUCAGUGGCAUCUUCGGAUAUUGAAGGAACUUUCAUUCCUCUGACAGAGAGUGACUCUAAAUGGGAAGGUUUAAAUUUUCUCAACAGGAACUUUAAAGAGGAGGAAGAACAAGAAGAUGUUGUAAAAAUCGUUGACUUACAAACUGAGGAAAAACCUCCAUUAUUUUUAUUAUUCCCUGACUUGGGGAAUAAAGAUAAGGAACGUCUAUCAAGAGAGACUUCAACUACUCAGAUUACGCAAAUUUUAGUUGGCAAAAGAGCCGAUUUUAGUCUGCUGAAACCUUCGAAAAAAAUUAAUCCGGAACAGAGCAAAUUACCUCCGUUACACGAAGCGACACAUGAAAAUAGCGACAGUGAAGGGUCUAUUAAAUAAAACAACUUUUCGGUUUGUUAAUUUAAUUUGGUAGUAAAAUUUACAUUUAUUUAAUUUAA